UACGUAGGCAGCGAGCGUUGUUCGGAGUUACUGGGCGUAAAGGGUGUGUAGGCGGUUGUUUAAGUUUGGUGUGAAAUCUCCCGGCUCAACUGGGAGGGUGCGCCGAAUACUGAGCGACUAGAGUGCGGGAGAGGAAAGUGGAAUUCCUGGUGUAGCGGUGAAAUGCGUAGAUAUCAGGAGGAACACCGGUGGUGUAGACGGCUUUCUGGACCGUAACUGACGCUGAGACACGAAAGCUAGGGGAGCAAACAGG
RNAcentral lists this ribosomal RNA (253 nucleotides) under uncultured bacterium. Its description in RNAcentral is "partial 16S ribosomal RNA". It matches the Rfam family "Bacterial small subunit ribosomal RNA", at positions 524 to 776 of the family's 1533-position model. The record is from RNAcentral.